UUAUCUCUACAUGACAUUUCUCACUUUGGGGU
This 32-nucleotide non-coding RNA is filed under the name Rattus norvegicus (Norway rat). Lineage: Eukaryota; Metazoa; Chordata; Mammalia; Rodentia; Muridae. The record is from RNAcentral.